Non-coding RNA from Pelobates cultripes (western spadefoot toad), 735 nucleotides. Lineage: Eukaryota; Metazoa; Chordata; Amphibia; Anura; Pelobatidae. The record is from the annotation of a GenBank genome assembly.
AUCUCUAUCCCAAAAUAGUUCUUAUUUAAUUCACCAGUAAUUAAAAUACUACACUAUAUUCCGCUCCUUUUGUCCACUUGUCUUCCAUAUUGCUCUACUUUCACUUGAGGACACCUUAAAGGUGCUGCUUCCCUGCACCCCCUUUUAUAUAGUUUAUAUCCUUAUUGUACUUUCUGUCCCUCACUUUAACACAAGACCUUACAUUCUGAUUCCCUGGUUUGGGAACAUUCACAGUCUAUAUAACAUAUUGAUUCUGAUCAUUGAAUCAACAAAAGGUAUGCCAUUAAACAUUAGUGCUCUAUCACACCCAGUAAGUGAAAGUCGAAAUGUUUCCACUGACGUGUCUGGUGUUAAUAUGUUUUUGUGCUGACCGUUAUAAAUCACUGAUAAAGAGCUUCUUGUGCACACCAGUGAGAGAUGGAGGUCCAUGUCUGAAUAACCUUUUUAGACCAUACGAGAAACAUAGCCAUUCCAAAAUAUGCAGUAUUGUCUUAACAUCUAAACAUACACCAGGAUAAUAUCUAAAAAAGACUUAUAUCACUAAUCAUUCUGCCGUCACACACAGGCCUAUAAUGAAUCAUUAAAGGACCACUAUAGUGCCAGGAAAACAUACUCGUUUUCCUGGCACUAUAGUGCCCUGAGGGUGCCCCCACCCUCAGGGACCCCCUCCCGCCCGGCUCUGGAAAGGGGAAAGGGGUUUAAACUUACCUUUUUCCAGCGCUGGGCGGAGAGCUC